AUCCUUUCUCUUAUAGAGUUGACAAUGUAUUUUUCCAAUUUUUGGUUUCCAUGGAAAGAAACAAUGGAUGCUCAUUUAUGAGAAGUGUCAUUCUGCGGGGGAAAGAUUUUCGUUCGUCAUUUUGAAGCCACUUUAAUUAUCUUGAUGUGCUUCGUUUCUCGGUGAAAAUGUUUCAAUUUGUUGUUUUAAAAACGAGGGUGCAUAGUGUUUCAAAAUAAAGAUUACCAAUUUUUUUGGAGCGAAUUAAAUUGUGGCUUGACAUUCUCGAGUUAUUGUGGCAAAAUAAAAUUACUUUGGUCCUGGUUGUCCCAACUCUAAAACAAUUUGGUUUCAACUUUUAUUCUUAAAUAAAUUUUUUUCGAGAUAUUGGAUUGGAAGAAAAAAUUACUUGGAUGAAAUCUUUUCUCUUGCGGAGUUGACAUCCUUUCUCUUAUAGAGUUGAUAAUGUGUUUUGCCAAUUUUUUGUUCCCACGGAAAGAAAAGAUGGAUGCUCGUUUAUGGGAAUUGUCAUUUUAUGGGGGAAAGAUUGUCGUUCUUCAUUUUGAAACCAUUUUAAUUAUCUUUAUGUGCUUUGUUUUUCGGCGAAAAUGCCUUAGUUCAUUGUUUUAAAAACAAGAGUGCAUGGUGUUCGAAAAUAAAAGUUACCAAGUUUUGUGGAGAGAAUUAAAUUGUGGCUUGACAUUGUCGAGUUAUGGUGGCAAAAUAAAAUUACUUUGGUCCUUCCAGUUGUCCCAACUCUAAAAAAAUUUGAUUUCAACUUUUG
Molecule: long non-coding RNA, 763 nt
Filed under: Carica papaya (papaya)
Lineage: Eukaryota; Viridiplantae; Streptophyta; Magnoliopsida; Brassicales; Caricaceae
Description: long non-coding RNA (CPAP_LNC015464)
Source: RNAcentral